Heterocephalus glaber (naked mole-rat) is the source of this 2299-nucleotide long non-coding RNA. NCBI's taxonomy places the organism in Eukaryota, Metazoa, Chordata, Mammalia, Rodentia, Bathyergidae. The record is from Ensembl.
AGCGGCAGUCUUUCUGUCUGCCCCCUGGAGCAGCCGUAUGCCUUGCUGUGGGCCUGUCCUUGGCCUCCUGGGUCCAGGGGCUGUCUUCCUCUCAGGGCAGUCCUUGUCCCUCUUGCUGGAGGGGUUCGGGGUUUGACUCGGAGUUGAAGGUUGACCUUGAGGGCUUCAGUAGAGAGGUGCAAUGUCAUGCCCGCCUGGUCAGCCGCCUGUGGGCUCAGAGAGACACUUCCUGGGGGUAAUGGGGACCUCGCUGAGUCCCAGCCCUCUGUUCCCCAUUCCCUUUGCACAUGCAUGAAUAGCCUCCUCGGGGCCCGGUCGCCUCAUCUGUAAAGUGGCCAUAAUCACAGUGCCUGUCCUCAGAGACACACCACCUAGCGGGUGUCCGGGGAAGACCUGCCCCGUGGCCUCGAGGCCACCCUGUGGGGUCAGCAACUUGAGGCUCCUUGGCCGAGCCCCGGGGAGGUCCCCGAGCCACGUGUCUGUGCCGCGCAGGGAGCGGCAGGCAGCCUCCAAGCAGGUGCGCGGGCCGAGAAGAGGCUGAAGGACGUGCUGCUGCAGGUGGAUGACGAGCGCAGAAGCGCGGAGCAGUACAAAGACCAGGCUGACAAGGCGUCCACGCGCCUGAAGCAGCUCAAGCGGCAGCUAGAGGAGGCCGAGGAAGAGGCCCAGCGGGCCAACGCCUCCCGCCGGAAGCUGCAGCGCGAGCUGGAGGGCGCCACGGAGACGGCCGACGCCAUGAACCGGGAGGUCAGCUCCCUGAAGAACAAGCUGAGGCGUGGGGACAUGCCCUUUGUCGUACCCCGCCGAAUGGCCCGGAAAGGUGCUGGCGACUGCUCAGACGAGGAGGUGGAUGGCAAAGUGGAUGGGGCCGAGGCCAAGCCUGCUGAAUAGGCCGCUUCUCCUGCCUCCUGGUGGACGUGGACGGACAGAUGACUCCGCACCUCUCCCCGCCCCUGCAGUGCCCCGCCUCGCCUAGGGACUGCUGUGACCGGGACCCCUUCCCCCAGCCCUGUUGAGGGCAUUGGCUUCCUCGGCUGCAGCCCUCCAGCCCCUCCCCUCUCCGAGAAUCUGAUACCAAAGAGUCAGGGCCGGGCGCAUGCCCAGAAAGCGUGACCAGCAGGUCUGUACCCUCUCUUGCCUGAAAGCACCGGUGGCGAGGCAAGGUGGGCAGGCUGCGGGGCCAGCCGCCGUUUUCUGUGAGUCUAUUUUUCUUCAGACUAAAGGAGUUUUGAUAGCCCGACACCCAGAAGCGUUGUGACCUUCCCCCUGCCUCGCCAUCGGCUCCUCCCUCCUCCUCCCUUGUCUGCUGUUGGCAAUCACAUGUGCUGACCUCAUGCCUCUGUCCCAUCAGACUCCCACCCUCCUGGGCCCUGAGUGGUCCGGAUGGAGCGGCCCUGGGUUCCACCCCUGUGCAGGGCACACAAUGUGGGGGCAAGGGAGGCUCUCCCCACCCCCCUCUGGGCAGUGCCACUGUCACCGCCCCUCCUGAUUCCAAGAUGUCUCAAGUGCAAUGCCACCUCCCCUCCUUUGCCGAGGGCAGCCCGCCCCUGCACAGCAAGGCUGUCAGGCCAAGCAGACAGGGUGUCGGCCGUGCUGGAAGGGCCAGCAGCCUUCUGGUGGCUUCUCCUAACACUCUUGGGGACCAAAUAUAUUUAAUGGUUAAGGGACUUGUCCCAGAUCUGGCAGCCAGAGCACCAGAGAAGGCUGGUGGCCCUCCACGUGAUCCUGUGCCUCCUCCAGGGCUGGGGCCCGAGGGCAGCUUAUCUGCACUGUUGACUCCGUACAAUUGAAAAUCUGCCACCUGCACAGAUUAUUUUUGAAAGGAAAAAAAAGUUUUCUUUUCUCCCCUUCUUGUAAUAAAUGAUACAAUUCUGAGUCUGUCACUGCAUUUCCUUUGGAACCAUGUUUAGAAGAGAGUAGCUUGUCCUACACUGGUCUACACUGGUUGCUGAAUUUACUUGUAUUUCUAACUGUUUUGUAUAUGCUGCAUUUAGACUUACUUAUGGCAAGAAGGCAUUUUUUUUAAAAAAAGGAAACAAACUCAAAUCAUGAAGCUACAUAUGCCUAAAAAGCUCUGAAUUCAGGUCCCAGUUGCUGUCUCAAAGGAGUGAAUGGAACUCCGAGCCACCCCCUUUUAUAUAAUACAAAGUGCCUUAGCAUGUGUUGCAGCUGCCACCACUACAGCAAGCUGGUUUACAGAUGUUUUCCACUGAGAGUCACAAUAAAGAGUACCAUGUGCUACGAGCCGCGUCUGUGGUGUCCGUCUGCAGAGAGGGCGCCCGGGAGGGGCCGUGCUGUG